GACGAACGCUGGCGGCGUGCUUAACACAUGCAAGUCGAACGGAAAGGCCCUGCUUUUGUGGGGUGCUCGAGUGGCGAACGGGUGAGUAACACGUGAGUAACCUGCCCUUGACUUUGGGAUAACUUCAGGAAACUGGGGCUAAUACCGGAUAGGAGCUCCUGCUGCAUGGUGGGGGUUGGAAAGUUUCGGCGGUUGGGGAUGGACUCGCGGCUUAUCAGCUUGUUGGUGGGGUAGUUGCUUACCAAGGCUUUGACGGGUAGCCGGCCUGAGAGGGUGACCGGCCACAUUGGGACUGAGAUACGGCCCAGACUCCUACGGGAGGCAGCAGUGGGGAAUAUUGCACAAUGGGCGGAAGCCUGAUGCAGCAACGCCGCGUGCGGGAUGACGGCCUUCGGGUUGUAAACCGCUUUCGCCUGUGACGAAGCGUGAGUGACGGUAAUGGGGAAAGAAGCACCGGCUAACUACGU
This 467-nucleotide ribosomal RNA is filed under the name uncultured bacterium. RNAcentral's name for it is "partial 16S ribosomal RNA". It matches the Rfam family "Bacterial small subunit ribosomal RNA", at positions 28 to 506 of the family's 1533-position model. The record is from RNAcentral.